UCUUUCGGGAUCUUGAGAGCGGCGUACGGGUGCGGAACACGUGUGCAACCUGCCUUUAUCUGGGGGAUAGCCUUUCGAAAGGAAGAUUAAUACCCCAUAAUAUAUUGAAUGGCAUCAUUUGAUAUUGAAAACUCCGGUGGAUAGAGAUGGGCACGCGCAAGAUUAGAUAGUUGGUGAGGUAACGGCUCACCAAGUCAGCGAUCUUUAGGGGGCCUGAGAGGGUGAUCCCCCACACUGGUACUGAGACACGGACCAGACUCCUACGGGAGGCAGCAGUGAGGAAUAUUGGACAAUGGGUGAGAGCCUGAUCCAGCCAUCCCGCGUGAAGGACGACGGCCCUAUGGGUUGUAAACUUCUUUUGUAUAGGGAUAAACCUACCCUCGUGAGGGUAGCUGAAGGUACUAUACGAAUAAGCACCGGCUAACUCCGUGCCAGCAGCCGCGGUAAUACGGAGGGUGCAAGCGUUAUCCGGAUUUAUUGGGUUUAAAGGGUCCGUAGGCUGAUUUGUAAGUCAGUGGUGAAAUCUCACAGCUUAACUGUGAAACUGCCAUUGAUACUGCAAGUCUUGAGUGUUGUUGAAGUAGCUGGAAUAAGUAGUGUAGCGGUGAAAUGCAUAGAUAUUACUUAGAACACCAAUUGCGAAGGCAGGUUACUAAGCAACAACUGACGCUGAUGGACGAAAGCGUGGGGAGCGAACAGGAUUAGAUACCCUGGUAGUCCACGCCGUAAACGAUGCUAACUCGUUUUUGGGCUUUUGGGUUCAGAGACUAAGCGAAAGUGAUAAGUUAGCCACCUGGGGAGUACGAACGCAAGUUUGAAACUCAAAGGAAUUGACGGGGGCCCGCACAAGCGGUGGAUUAUGUGGUUUAAUUCGAUGAUACGCGAGGAACCUUACCAAGGCUUAAAUGGGAAAUGACAGGCUUAGAAAUAGGCUUUUCUUCGGACAUUUUUCAAGGUGCUGCAUGGUUGUCGUCAGCUCGUGCCGUGAGGUGUUAGGUUAAGUCCUGCAACGAGCGCAACCCCUGUCACUAGUUGCCAUCAUUAAGUUGGGGACUCUAGUGAGACUGCCUACGCAAGUAGAGAGGAAGGUGGGGAUGACGUCAAAUCAUCACGGCCCUUACGCCUUGGGCCACACACGUAAUACAAUGGCCGGUACAGAGGGCAGCUACACUGCGAAGUGAUGCAAAUCUCGAAAGCCGGUCUCAGUUCGGAUUGGAGUCUGCAACUCGACUCUAUGAAGCUGGAAUCGCUAGUAAUCGCGCAUCAGCCAUGGCGCGGUGAAUACGUUCCCGGGCCUUGUACACACCGCCCGUCAAGCCAU
Molecule: ribosomal RNA, 1321 nt
Filed under: Chryseobacterium sp.
Lineage: Bacteria; Pseudomonadati; Bacteroidota; Flavobacteriia; Flavobacteriales; Weeksellaceae
Description: bacterial SSU rRNA
Rfam family: Bacterial small subunit ribosomal RNA
Source: RNAcentral